RNAcentral lists this ribosomal RNA (601 nucleotides) under Onomastus nigrimaculatus. Its description in RNAcentral is "SSU rRNA". It matches the Rfam family "Eukaryotic small subunit ribosomal RNA", at positions 1170 to 1789 of the family's 1831-position model. The record is from RNAcentral. Lineage: Eukaryota; Metazoa; Arthropoda; Arachnida; Araneae; Salticidae.
CCAGGCUUGGAGCCUGCGGCUUAAUUUGACUCAACACGGGAAAACUUACCCGGCCCGGACACAGGAAGGAUUGACAGAUUAAGAGCUCUUUCUUGAUUCUGUGGGUGGUGGUGCAUGGCCGUUCUUAGUUGGUGGAGUGAUUUGUCUGGUUAAUUCCGAUAACGAACGAGACUCUAGCCUACUAAAUAGACGUUCCGAUCAACUCCGUCGGACGUUCUUCUUAGAGGGACAAGCGGCGUUUAGCCGCACGAGACAGAGCAAUAACAGGUCUGUGAUGCCCCUCGAUGCACGGGGCCGCACGCGCGCUACAUUGAAGGAAUCAGCGUGUGCUUUCCCUGUCCGACAGGACUGGGUAACCCGUUGAACCUCCUUCGUGCUGGGGAUAGGAAAUUGUAAUUGUUUUCCUUGAACGAGGAAUGCCCAGUAAGCGCGAGUCAUAAGCUCGUGUUGAUUACGUCCCUGCCCUUUGUACACACCGCCCGUCGCUACUACCGAUUGAAUGAUUUAGUGAGGUCUUCGGACUGGCGCUCGGAGCGGCUCUUUGAGUCGCGCCGGCGUGCCGGAAAGAUGACCAAACUUGAUCAUUUAGAGGAAGUAAAGU